UCAUGUACGGGGUGAUCUGGAUAUGGUGGAAUGUGUAUAGAGGUUGUGAGUAGGUCAACAUAGAGUCAAUAACUCUUGCUAAGAGGAGAUCACAUCCUACUUGCUCUGAUCAAUUGAUGAUUCAGAAAGUCUUUGAUCAAAGUAGAAUAAAAAUUAGAAAGAGUUUCUAAUAUUUCAUUAAUCGAAACAUCAUUAAAGAUCAAGAGAAAUAUGAAUAUGAUAUUGGAUUCGACAUCAUUCCAUAUCUAGAGUCAUAUUCGGGAUGCAGGG
This 270-nucleotide long non-coding RNA is filed under the name Elaeis guineensis (African oil palm). RNAcentral's name for it is "long non-coding RNA (EGUI_LNC076745)". The record is from RNAcentral. Lineage: Eukaryota; Viridiplantae; Streptophyta; Magnoliopsida; Arecales; Arecaceae.